AGUGAACGCUGGCGGUAGGCCUAACACAUGCAAGUCGAACGGCAGCACAGUAAGAGCUUGCUCUUACGGGUGGCGAGUGGCGGACGGGUGAGGAAUACAUCGGAAUCUACUUUUUCGUGGGGGAUAACGUAGGGAAACUUACGCUAAUGCCGCAUACGACCUACGGGUGAAAGCAGGGGAUCUUCGGACCUUGCGCGAUUGAACGAGCCGAUGUCGGAUUAGCUAGUUGGCGGGGUAAAGGCCCACCAAGACGACGAUCCGUAGCUGGUCUGAGAGGAUGAUCAGCCACACUGGAACUGAGACACGGUCCAGACUCCUACGGGAGGCAGCAGUGGGGAAUAUUGGACAAUGGGCGCAAGCCUGAUCCAGCCAUACCGCGUGGGUGAAGAAGGCCUUCGGGUUGUAAAGCCCUUUUGUUGGGAAAGAAAAGCAGCAGGUUAAUACCCCGCUGUUCUGACGGUACCCAAAGAAUAAGCACCGGCUAACUUCGUG
This 492-nucleotide ribosomal RNA is filed under the name uncultured bacterium. RNAcentral's name for it is "partial 16S ribosomal RNA". It matches the Rfam family "Bacterial small subunit ribosomal RNA", at positions 29 to 507 of the family's 1533-position model. The record is from RNAcentral.